GAAAAGGUGGUUCAAUAGGUAGAAUGGAUGAAUAGUUAGGAAAAGUAGUUAUCAUCUAUAGUAUAGGAGUUGGUAUCUCGGGGUAGUAUAAAGAGGAUGGGAGAGAGGAAGAAAAUGCCAGACUGUGAUAGUCAUGAGCUGGGGUUAAGCUUGGUGCUUCUUCUUUAUUUCUUUUAUUUUCUUUAUUGUUGAAGAAUAAUGGAUAGUUUUUGAAUAUUGAGAAGUGAGUCUGUGGAAUAAAUCAGAGAUUGAUUUAUGAGUUAUUGAUUAUAUAAUUGGAGUACUGAGUAAUUGAAUUAUAUGAAAAGUUAUUAGAAGAUUGAUUAUGGAUGGAAGAUUAUGAUUGUUGUUUAUUGAGAAUUGUGUAUGUGUGUUUUGAGAGAGGAAUUCUGUGAUUACAGGAAUUCUAUGAAUUGAGAUUGGUUGGAAUGAAGUCUAUUAUUCCUACUGUUGGAUGGAAUUUAUUGAAUUUUGAGUGGUCUUUUGAGAGUAUAGGGUUGCAUAUUGUGGUUAUCAGUUGAUGAAGGAGUAUUAUUACUGCGAGGAAGCAUAGUAGUGUUUCUUAGUAUUUUAGUGGUUCGGAAUAUACUUAAUUGUGUGACCCUUA
RNAcentral lists this long non-coding RNA (607 nucleotides) under Physcomitrium patens. Its description in RNAcentral is "long non-coding RNA (PPAT_LNC009885)". Lineage: Eukaryota; Viridiplantae; Streptophyta; Bryopsida; Funariales; Funariaceae. The record is from RNAcentral.